This is a long non-coding RNA of Scleropages formosus (Asian bonytongue), 429 nucleotides long. The record is from Ensembl. NCBI's taxonomy places the organism in Eukaryota, Metazoa, Chordata, Actinopteri, Osteoglossiformes, Osteoglossidae.
UUUUAUUAGUGCUUCAGAGUCCAGUCUACCUUUGGUUUGUCCAGUGUCUUGGUGGGAGAAAGUAGACAGGUGGUGUUUGUCAUUCGACUGGGACGAACGCAGUCAGGAUUGGACGGACAAAGGCAGCGAAGGACAAGGCAGCGGUCAAAAGGUCCUUAGAAGAAAAGGACCUGUGGAUCUGUAAAUAUUGUGCACAGGUGGGUCUUUGGAAGGAAGCAGGCAUGGGCUGUUGCGCCAGUCAAGGUCAGGAGGAUGUGGACCCGAAACACAGGGCCUCGGAGAACGGCUGCACCAAUUGCUGCAGGAGCACCCGCGGAUGCCUCAUGAGUCCGGAGUGUGGCCGGGCGCUCCAGAUCGCCAGCACCUGCGCCAUGUGCGGCAUGUGCCUUGAAUGGUUUGCCAAUUGCUUCGUCUAGUCCCACGAGGCAC